GAGUUUGAUCAUGGCUCAGAUUGAACGCUGGAGGCGUGCUUAACACAUGCAAGUCGCGCGAGAAAGGGACUUCGGUCCUGAGUAGAGCGGCGCACGGGUGAGUAACGCGUGGGUGAUCUCCCCUGGUGAUCGGGAUAACAGCUGGAAACGGCUGCUAAUACCGGAUAAUCUUCAUGUUUAGCUUCAUGGGGUAAAGGUGGCCUCUGCUUGCAAGCUACCACAUCAGGAUGAGCCCGCGUCUCAUUAGCUAGUUGGUGGGGUAACGGCCUACCAAGGCGACGAUGAGUAGCUGGUCUGAGAGGAUGACCAGCCACACUGGGACUGGAACACGGCCAGACUCCUACGGGAGGCAGCAGUGGGGAAUAUGCGCAAUGGGCGAAAGCCUGACGCAGCGACGCCUCGUGAGGGAUGAAGGUCUUCGGAUCGUAAACCUCUGUCAAGAGGAAGAAACCAUUGGAGUCGAACAGGCUUCUUUGCUGACGGUACCUCUGAAGGAA
This 497-nucleotide ribosomal RNA is filed under the name bacterium enrichment culture clone ALO1_GLFRUDD03HCQDW. RNAcentral's name for it is "bacterial SSU rRNA". It matches the Rfam family "Bacterial small subunit ribosomal RNA", at positions 9 to 489 of the family's 1533-position model. The record is from RNAcentral.